AUUGAACGCUGGCGGCAGGCCUAACACAUGCAAGUCGAACGGUAACAGGAAGCAGCUUGCUGCUUCGCUGACGAGUGGCAGACGGGUGAGUAAUGUCUGGGAAACUGCCUGAUGGAGGGGGAUAACUACUGGAAACGGUAGCUAAUACCGCAUAACGUCGCAAGACCAAAGAGGGGGACCUUAGGGCCUCUUGCCAUCGGAUGUGCCCAGAUGGGAUUAGCUAGUAGGUGGGGUAACGGCUCACCUAGGCGACGAUCCCUAGCUGGUCUGAGAGGAUGACCAGCCACACUGGAACUGAGACACGGUCCAGACUCCUACGGGAGGCAGCAGUGGGGAAUAUUGCACAAUGGGCGCAAGCCUGAUGCAGCCAUGCCGCGUGUAUGAAGAAGGCCUUCGGGUUGUAAAGUACUUUCAGCGGGGAGGAAGGGAGUAAAGUUAAUACCUUUGCUCAUUGACGUUACCCGCAGAAGAAGCACCGGCUAACUCCGUG
This 490-nucleotide ribosomal RNA is filed under the name uncultured bacterium. RNAcentral describes it as "partial 16S ribosomal RNA". It matches the Rfam family "Bacterial small subunit ribosomal RNA", at positions 30 to 507 of the family's 1533-position model. The record is from RNAcentral.